UUAAGCGACUAAGCGUACACGGUGGAUGCCCUGGCAGUCAGAGGCGAUGAAGGACGUGCUAAUCUGCGAAAAGCGUCGGUAAGGUGAUAUGAACCGUUAUAACCGGCGAUGUCCGAAUGGGGAAACCCAGUGCAAUUCGUUGCACUAUCGUUAACUGAAUACAUAGGUUAACGAGGCGAACCGGGGGAACUGAAACAUCUAAGUACCCCGAGGAAAAGAAAUCAACCGAGAUUCCCCCAGUAGCGGCGAGCGAACGGGGAGCAGCCCAGAGUCUGAAUCAGCUUGUGUGUUAGUGGAACGGUCUGGAAAGUCCGACGGUACAGGGUGAUAGUCCCGUACACCAAAAUGCACAGGCUGUGAACUCGAAGAGUAGGGCGGGACACGUGGUAUCCUGUCUGAAUAUGGGGGGACCAUCCUCCAAGGCUAAAUACUCCUGACUGACCGAUAGUGAACCAGUACCGUGAGGGAAAGGCGAAAAGAACCCCGGCGAGGGGAGUGAAAAAGAACCUGAAACCGUGUACGUACAAGCAGUGGGAGCACCCCUUUUGGGUGUGACUGCGUACCUUUUGUAUAGGGUCAAGCGACUUAUAUUCUGUAGCAAGGUUAACCGUAUAGGGGAGCCGCAGGGAAACCGAGUCUUAACUGGGCGUUAAGUUGCAGGGUAUAGACCCGAAACCCGGUGAUCUAGCCAUGGGCAGGUUGAAGGUUGGGUAACACUAACUGGAGGACCGAACCGACUAAUGUUGAAAAAUUAGCGGAUGACUUGUGGCUGGGGGUGAAAGGCCAAUCAAACCGGGAGAUAGCUGGUUCUCCCCGAAAGCUAUUUAGGUAGCGCCUCGUGAACUCAUCUUCGGGGGUAGAGCACUGUUUCGGCUAGGGGGUCAUCCCGACUUACCAACCCGAUGCAAACUACGAAUACCGAAGAAUGUUAUCACGGGAGACACACGGCGGGUGCUAACGUCCGUCGUGAAGAGGGAAACAACCCAGACCGCCAGCUAAGGUCCCAAAGUCAUGGUUAAGUGGGAAACGAUGUGGGAAGGCACAGACAGCCAGGAUGUUGGCUUAGAAGCAGCCAUCAUUUAAAGAAAGCGUAAUAGCUCACUGGUCGAGUCGGCCUGCGCGGAAGAUGUAACGGGGCUAAACCAUGCACCGAAGCUGCGGCAGCGACACUAUGUGUUGUUGGGUAGGGGAGCGUUCUGUAAGCCUGCGAAGGUGGCCUGUGAGGGCUGCUGGAGGUAUCAGAAGUGCGAAUGCUGACAUAAGUAACGAUAAAGCGGGUGAAAAGCCCGCUCGCCGGAAGACCAAGGGUUCCUGUCCAACGUUAAUCGGGGCAGGGUGAGUCGACCCCUAAGGCGAGGCCGAAAGGCGUAGUCGAUGGGAAACAGGUUAAUAUUCCUGUACUUGGUGUUACUGCGAAGGGGGGACGGAGAAGGCUAUGUUAGCCGGGCGACGGUUGUCCCGGUUUAAGCAUGUAGGCGGAGGUUCCAGGUAAAUCCGGUACCUUUUAACGCUGAGGUGUGAUGACGAGGCACUACGGUGCUGAAGUAACAAAUGCCCUGCUUCCAGGAAAAGCCUCUAAGCAUCAGGUAACAUUAAAUCGUACCCCAAACCGACACAGGUGGUCAGGUAGAGAAUACCAAGGCGCUUGAGAGAACUCGGGUGAAGGAACUAGGCAAAAUGGUGCCGUAACUUCGGGAGAAGGCACGCUGAUAUGUAGGUGAAGCCCCUGCGGGUGGAGCUGAAAUCAGUCGAAGAUACCAGCUGGCUGCAACUGUUUAUUAAAAACACAGCACUGUGCAAACACGAAAGUGGACGUAUACGGUGUGACGCCUGCCCGGUGCCGGAAGGUUAAUUGAUGGGGUUAUCCGUAAGGAGAAGCUCUUGAUCGAAGCCCCGGUAAACGGCGGCCGUAACUAUAACGGUCCUAAGGUAGCGAAAUUCCUUGUCGGGUAAGUUCCGACCUGCACGAAUGGCGUAAUGAUGGCCAGGCUGUCUCCACCCGAGACUCAGUGAAAUUGAACUCGCUGUGAAGAUGCAGUGUACCCGCGGCAAGACGGAAAGACCCCGUGAACCUUUACUAUAGCUUGACACUGAACAUUGAGCCUUGAUGUGUAGGAUAGGUGGGAGGCUUUGAAGCGUGGACGCCAGUCUGCGUGGAGCCAACCUUGAAAUACCACCCUUUAAUGUUUGAUGUUCUAACGUAGACCCGUGAUCCGGGUUGCGGACAGUGUCUGGUGGGUAGUUUGACUGGGGCGGUCUCCUCCCAAAGAGUAACGGAGGAGCACGAAGGUUAGCUAAUCCUGGUCGGACAUCAGGAGGUUAGUGCAAUGGCAUAAGCUAGCUUGACUGCGAGCGUGACGGCGCGAGCAGGUGCGAAAGCAGGUCAUAGUGAUCCGGUGGUUCUGAAUGGAAGGGCCAUCGCUCAACGGAUAAAAGGUACUCCGGGGAUAACAGGCUGAUACCGCCCAAGAGUUCAUAUCGACGGCGGUGUUUGGCACCUCGAUGUCGGCUCAUCACAUCCUGGGGCUGAAGUAGGUCCCAAGGGUAUGGCUGUUCGCCAUUUAAAGUGGUACGCGAGCUGGGUUUAGAACGUCGUGAGACAGUUCGGUCCCUAUCUGCCGUGGGCGCUGGAGAAUUGAGGGGGGCUGCUCCUAGUACGAGAGGACCGGAGUGGACGCAUCACUGGUGUUCGGGUUGUCAUGCCAAUGGCAUUGCCCGGUAGCUAAAUGCGGAAGAGAUAAGUGCUGAAAGCAUCUAAGCACGAAACUUGCCCCGAGAUGAGUUCUCCCUGAGACUUUAAGUCUCCUGAAGGAACGUUGAAGACGACGACGUUGAUAGGCCGGGUGUGUAAGCGCAGCGAUGCGUUGAGCUAACCGGUACUAAUGAACCGUGAGGCUUAACCU
Molecule: ribosomal RNA, 2903 nt
Filed under: Klebsiella variicola
Lineage: Bacteria; Pseudomonadati; Pseudomonadota; Gammaproteobacteria; Enterobacterales; Enterobacteriaceae
Description: 23S ribosomal RNA
Rfam family: Bacterial large subunit ribosomal RNA
Source: RNAcentral